CCAAUAGCGUAUAUUAAAGUUGUUGCAGUUAAAAAGCUCGUAGUUGAAUUUCGGGAUCAGUACGCUGGUCGUGCCUUCGGUAUGUACUGGUGUUACUGGUUCCUACCUUCUGACGAACCGUCAUGUCAUUAAUUUGGGGUGGCGGGGAAUCAGGACUGUUACUUUGAAAAAAUUAGAGUGUUUAAAGCAGGCUCGGGCUUGAAUACAUUAGCAUGGAAUAAUGAAAUAGGACGUUCGAUCCUAUUUUGUUGGUUUCUAGGAUUGACGUAAUGAUUAAUAGGGAUAGUUGGGGGCAUUAGUAUUCAAUUGUCAGAGGUGAAAUUCUUGGAUUUAUUGAAGACUAACUACUGCGAAAGCAUUUGCCAAGGAUGUUUUCAUUAAUCAAGAACGAAAGUUAGGGGAUCGAAGACGAUCAGAUACCGUCGUAGUCUUAACCAUAAACUAUGCCGACUAGGGAUCGGAUGAUGUUAAUUUUUUAAUGACUCAUUCGGCGCCUUACG
Molecule: ribosomal RNA, 500 nt
Filed under: uncultured Glomeromycotina
Lineage: Eukaryota; Fungi; Glomeromycota
Description: partial small subunit ribosomal RNA
Rfam family: Eukaryotic small subunit ribosomal RNA
Source: RNAcentral